UCCCCAACCCGGUCCAUUUCACCCAUCCCUCUAUUUUUCAUAUUUUUCACUUCACUCAACCAAACAACCCAAACCCUAAAUCUUCUAGCCGUCACAUCUUACACCCAACCCCCUCUCUUCAUCUUCUCCAAACACACCCUCAAACCCUAAACCACCAAGCUCCAAACCCCUCCAACCAUGACUGCCCUUCCCGUCAUCUUCCUCAUCGUCACGAAACGACCCUUCCGUCGACAAACAGCCAUUGCUGCUGCCUCACGUCCACCUUCAACCAAUCACCACCUCCGACGUCAGCCAACCCCGUCCCAAACAGUCCUCACGGACCAGACCACCAAGCGACCAUCCAGCCUUCACGUUCUCCCUCACGACGUGAACCAAACCAAACGGACCCCACAUCUCCGCCUCACUUGCGAUAAUAAAUAGCCCCCAACGUCCAGCAACACCCUAGUCUUCAUCUUGCUGUUUUUUUCUUUAACUUGAGGAACGAAGGGUGGCUUAAAUGCCAAAGUAACGAAUUAAUCUCAUACUGGAGUGAGGCUUGGACGAAAUUUGUUUAUAAAUGAAGUGAUUUAUUUCUGCUUCCUCUCGUUUUGGUCUUAAGGUAGAAGGCAACAGUCAUGAUAACUGUCGAAACAUGUUUCUGCCAAGUGGUAUCGAAAUCGGGCUGUCAAGGGUCGUGUGAGAUCGUAGUCUGAGUUGUGUGGGCAGAUUCUAGUUAUUAUGGGUUCAAAAUUUCCGGAGUUUUUGUUCGAGUUCGUCGUUGUUUCGAUCCGGUUAGUUGGUUUAAAUUUCAUUUCUGUCCGUAUUUUGUUUGAUAUUCUCAGAUCUAAAAAUCAGUAUGUUAUUUUCUUGUCAAUUUCUUGAUUAUUUCUUCAGUUUGUUUGAUAAAUAUAUUCGUGUUUAGUUUUAAUAUAGAAAUAUUUUAGUUUAAUCACUUGAAUUUUUAUCUUGAUUAUAAUGUUGCUAGAUUUAAUUUAAAGUUCAACUGAUUAUUGAGUUUAAUGAGUUGAAUCUGUUUUAUUGUUAUGGUAAAUCUAAAUUUGGAUCUGAGUUAGAGAUUUGUAUUUAUUUGUUUGAUCUUUUAAGUUUAAUUUGAAUGUGAUUCAGUGAUUGGAGUCUACUUGUUUGUUAUGUUCAAUUUUUUUAUUGUUGUUGAAUGCGAAAGUAUGCUUGUUAAGAAUGUUGUUCAAAAUAAUUUCAGUUGAUUAUUUGCUGUUCAUCAUUUAGUUUGAAUUGUUGUUAAAUUUGAUCAGGAAUUUGGUUAUAGCUGUAGUAAAUUGGUAUUUUUUUAAAAUUUUGGUGCAGAUUGUAGGGAUGGAGUGGAAUGUGAAUUUCAGUAAUGUGGGGGUAUUUUGGAAAUUGAUUAAAUGUGGGCCCAUAACUUUUAAUUAAAAUAAGAGGGGACAAG
RNAcentral lists this long non-coding RNA (1405 nucleotides) under Nicotiana benthamiana. Its description in RNAcentral is "long non-coding RNA (NBEN_LNC027662)". Lineage: Eukaryota; Viridiplantae; Streptophyta; Magnoliopsida; Solanales; Solanaceae. The record is from RNAcentral.